GAAGCAAAAUUGUGCCAUGAGUUCCCAUUAACGUCAACCUCUUUUUCUUCCAUAGGGAUGGUUUUUAGAUGUCUGAUGGGCGUUGCUUCAGUUGCGUAUGACUCAUGGUAGAUAAAUUUACUAGAAAGAUGUAUCUCCAGCUGUUGAUAUUAGAGGGGAAAGCCUUUCUCUUUCACCUCGCUUUUUUAAACACCUGAUACAGUUGGUCAUGAUUCGUUCUACAUUU
Molecule: small nucleolar RNA, 226 nt
Rfam family: Small nucleolar RNA snR31